Molecule: ribosomal RNA, 249 nt
Filed under: uncultured prokaryote
Description: partial 16S ribosomal RNA
Rfam family: Bacterial small subunit ribosomal RNA
Source: RNAcentral
CGGAGGAUGCAAGCGUUAUCCGGAUUCAUUGGGUUUAAAGGGUGCGUAGGCGGACUAUUAAGUCAGUGGUGAAAGCCUGCAGCUUAACUGCAGAACUGCCAUUGAUACUGAUAGUCUUGAGUUUGGUUAAGGUAGGCGGAAUGUGUAAUGUAGCGGUGAAAUGCUUAGAUAUUACACAGAACACCAAUUGCGUAGGCAGCUUACUGAGCCGACACUGACGCUGAGGCACGAAAGCGUGGGGAUCGAACA